Long non-coding RNA from Stegostoma tigrinum, 242 nucleotides. RefSeq lists it as uncharacterized. Lineage: Eukaryota; Metazoa; Chordata; Chondrichthyes; Orectolobiformes; Stegostomatidae. The transcript has 3 exons. The record is from RefSeq and is a predicted model, not a curated record.
CCAUGAUCCUGUGAGAGUAAAUUUUCAAGACAAUGCAUAUUGCUGACAUGUUUAUGACCGGAAUUAUGGUCCAUUGUACUUUGCCAAGAUCUAUGUGAAAAGAUGUACCAUGUAAUAUUGUGUGGCUCUACCAAGAAGGAAUGAAGAAACAACCAAGAACAAGAUGCUCAGGUCAUCAUUUUUGAUAGCCUUGAAGGAGGAGUGUUGGGGAGGAGCUGAAAGAACUCUAUGAAAAAGUGCCG